RNAcentral lists this ribosomal RNA (343 nucleotides) under uncultured soil bacterium. Its description in RNAcentral is "bacterial SSU rRNA". It matches the Rfam family "Bacterial small subunit ribosomal RNA", at positions 27 to 371 of the family's 1533-position model. The record is from RNAcentral.
GGAUUGAACGCUGGCGGCAGGCCUAACACAUGCAAGUCGAGCGGUAGAGAGGUGCUUGCAUCUCUUGAGAGCGGCGGACGGGUGAGUAAUGCCUAGGAAUCUGCCUAGUGGUGGGGGAUAACGUUCGGAAACGGACGCUAAUACCGCAUACGUCCUACGGGAGAAAGCGGGGGACCUUCGGGCCUCGCGCCAUUAGAUGAGCCUAGGUCGGAUUAGCUAGUUGGUGAGGUAAUGGCUCACCAAGGCGACGAUCCGUAACUGGUCUGAGAGGAUGAUCAGUCACACUGGAACUGAGACACGGUCCAGACUCCGUACGGAGCAGCAGUGGGGAAUAGUUGGACAA